CCAAUAGCAUAUAUUAAAGUUGUUGCAGUUAAAAAGCUCGUAGUUGAAUUUCGAAAUUUUUUUAUCGGUUAAAUCAACAGGUUUAUACUGAUUUUAAGAAUUUCUACCUUCUGGAGAACCUUAAUGUCAUUUAUUUGAUGUUUUGGGAAACCAGGACUGUUACCUUGAAAAAAUUAGAGUGUUUAAAGCAGGCUUAUGUCUGAAUAUAUUAGCAUGGCAUAAUGAAAUAGGACGGCAUGGUUCUAUUUUGUUGGUUUCUAGGAUCACCGUAAUGAUUAAUAGGGAUAGUUGGGGGCAUUAGUAUUCAAUUGUCAGAGGUGAAAUUCUUGGAUUUAUUGAAGACUAACUUCUGCGAAAGCAUUUGCCAAGGAUGUUUUCAUUAAUCAAGAACGAAAGUUAGAGGUUCGAAGGCGAUCAGAUACCGCCCUAGUUCUAACCAUAAACGAUGUCGACCAGCGAUCCGUAGUCGUUAAAUGAAUGACUCUACGGGCAGCUUCAG
This 499-nucleotide ribosomal RNA is filed under the name uncultured Pacispora. RNAcentral's name for it is "SSU rRNA". It matches the Rfam family "Eukaryotic small subunit ribosomal RNA", at positions 591 to 1092 of the family's 1831-position model. Lineage: Eukaryota; Fungi; Glomeromycota; Glomeromycetes; Diversisporales; Pacisporaceae. The record is from RNAcentral.